AGGCAAGAAUACUGGAGAGGGUUGCUGUUUCCUUCUCCAGGGGAUCUUCCUGAUCCAGGAAUCAAACUCACAUCUCCUACGUUGGUAAGGUGGAUUCUUUAUCAGUGACUCAAAUAUCCAUCUCCAAAAAUCCACCCCAAGACUCCCCUGAAGGUUCAGUGGUUAAGACUCCCAUGAUUCCAAUGCAGGGGGUGCAGGCUCAAGCCCAGAUCGGGGAACUAGGAUCCCAUGUGCCAUGCGGCACAGCAACCCCCAAAAAAUCCAUCCCCAAAAAAAUGCCUUAAGGAGACUGGAUCAAGAUAAAACCACAUUAGCUAUACAUGUCUUCUCCUCCCAUCUUAAAUCCUAGAAAUGACUAAAGACAGAUGUAUUGAUUUUCUAAAGUAAUUCUGAGAAACAAGAAGUGACACUAUCACCAGAACUAAGCUGACAGAGGCAGUAACUGUCCAGAACGCUCAAGAGAAAAACGCUAUUAAAAUGGGGAGCAGCUAUGAAGGUGGGGGAAGCAGAGGGGUGCUCCAUUCAAGGUGUCAAUGGGGUAGCUGCCACGGGGAAACAGAAGCAGGCUCUGGUGCAGUUGUAAGUCAUAUGGCAGGAAAAUGCAUUUGGCACAGCUGCACAGGCCAGUCACUCCCCUCCUCGGCCUCCAAGGAGGCAAAUUCUUCACUGAGCACGGGCACUUGAGCUCAACAGUCAGUAUGGCAUCCACACAGCUACUACCACCCAGAAGCGGGGAGCCCUACAUCUGGCCACACUUCCCAUCUCUCCCCUACAAUCCAUCCUGACGGACGAGUAAGCUCACAGUGCACCCACUGACAGAACAGCAUUCCUUAAACCAGAGACUAUCACUCUACAAACCAGAUUACCAAAAGGGGAAUCAACACCACAAAAACAAGACGCCAACAUCUGAAGAAACAGUCGCAGGAACAAAGAGGAGGCUUUAAAAGAAUCAUAAAUAUUGACCAAGGUAAAAGGAGAUUUCUUCCAUGAAAAAUAAGCUAUUGUAAAUCAAUUAUACGUCAAUAAAAAAAUUAAUUUUAAAAAUGAAUAAGCUGCUAUAAAGAAAAAUUAGAAAUUAAGAUACAAUUGCCAAGUAUGGUUUUGGCUGCAAGAAUCUACACAUGUGAUAAAAGUACACAGAACUAAAUACACAUUCACAAAAGAGCUAAGGUAAAACUGGUCCCAUCUAAAUAAGGUCUGUGGUAUCAAUGUUAACCUCCUAGUUGGGGGUGGAGG
This 1236-nucleotide long non-coding RNA is filed under the name Capra hircus (goat). RNAcentral describes it as "lncRNA (ENSCHIG00010007156.1)". Lineage: Eukaryota; Metazoa; Chordata; Mammalia; Artiodactyla; Bovidae. The record is from RNAcentral.